CCUACUCAUCUGUUGCAGAAUCGAACUAAUGCGAUCAUUGUUUACAACCAAAUGUUGAGGGUAUCAAGGUUUGCUAUUAGAGUAAAAGCUUAGUCUGGAAACACCUCAUUCAUUUAGAUUCAUUGUUAGUAAUACUACUACUCCUCCACAUCCCCAUCAUAGGAUGGGAGCCAUUACAGUUGGGAGGGAUUUACAUACUCACAUUCAUAUAUCCACAAAUCUUCUAUUCUACUUCUACCGCUUAAUACUAACCACAAAGCUCAUAAAUUUUUCAAACAAAAACUAAAGACAACAACACACAUAAUACUCGUUGAACAAUAUGAAAAGGAAUAACUUUUGCCACAAUCAAUCACCUCAUUCGUUCAUUCAUUCGUCCAAUCACCAUCUUGUCAAUUCAAUGAAAAUUAUCUUGAUGAAAGCUUUUGGUGCAAAUCAUCAGCAAGAGCUUGCCUCAAGCUCUCCCCAAAGAAGUACAAGGACUUCUCACUGUCCAUCACCCUCGGCUGCGGUCCAUUCUCAUCCAGUUCCUUACACAGCUCUGGUUCCGGCUCUCUCGCAAUCUGGCACAGGUUAUGCAGCACGCAGCAGGCCACGAUAGUCUGCGGAGCGUGAUAAACCCCGACAUUCAAAUCCUGCAAGAUCCUCCACCUCCCUUUCAGCAGCCCAAUUGCCUCUACCAUUGCAGACCUCCCCCUUCAUAAGCAUUCCAUCGAACAGGUUCUGCGCAGCCGUCCCCAUUCCAUUCGGCGAAAACAGCGUCUAAAAAAACGGCAACAAAGGGAAACACCAGUCCCCAACAAAGUAAGGCCUCACCUUCUUCAUUUUCAUCUCCUUCUUCAUCUUCCCAACAAAGCCACCNNNNNNNNNNNNNNCAGACAUAGAAUUCCUCAAAAUCUUCGACCCUCUUCCCAACUCUUUGUAAAGUUCAAAAUUUUAGCGGAAGCUGAACGGAAUCCAGUCAUUAUGUCAUCGGUCCAACUAGACCACAAUAUAUCGG
This 997-nucleotide long non-coding RNA is filed under the name Arachis ipaensis. RNAcentral's name for it is "long non-coding RNA (AIPA_LNC000158)". The record is from RNAcentral. Lineage: Eukaryota; Viridiplantae; Streptophyta; Magnoliopsida; Fabales; Fabaceae.